CAGCACAAAGGCCCUUGCCAGAUGUGAGCCCCUUGAUAUUGGAUUUCCCAGUCUUCAGAACUGUCGAAAAGCCCAGGAAUGUUCUAGAAUAUAUGAUUGGCGAGGACCCUCACUGGUGCCAUCCACAUCUUCUCUUCAGGACUGGGAACGUUGGCAGCUGAUGAUCCUCUGGGAAGUUCCUUGAUACCUGAUGCCAAGUCCUGAGGUUUUUGGAAGUGCUGCAGUGGAAAUUAGGUUCUUCUUGGCUUUCCCAGUUUAGCAUUUGGCCUUCUCAGAUUCACAAGAUCAAUUAUCAUUACGUAGACACUCACAUUCUCUUUGUCCUUGUGAGUUUAUCUCUUUACUGUAAUUUUAGCAGCAUAGAGAGGAAGUAAGAAUGAAUCUAUGUUGAGAAUUUACAAGAACCUCUUAAUUUUUUACUUCAGAAGGGUGAGCUUUAUGGUACAUGAGUUAUAUCUCAAUAAAAAACAUUUUAAAAAU
RNAcentral lists this long non-coding RNA (480 nucleotides) under Homo sapiens (human). Its description in RNAcentral is "non-protein coding lnc-TPD52-3:7". Lineage: Eukaryota; Metazoa; Chordata; Mammalia; Primates; Hominidae. The record is from RNAcentral.